Zootermopsis nevadensis is the source of this 69-nucleotide non-coding RNA. Lineage: Eukaryota; Metazoa; Arthropoda; Insecta; Blattodea; Termopsidae. The record is from Rfam.
CUGGUCAUCUAUCUGGUUGUGAAAUGUUGAUAUUCAGUACUCAUAUCACAGCCACUUUGAUGAGCUAGU